This 473-nucleotide ribosomal RNA is filed under the name uncultured bacterium. RNAcentral's name for it is "bacterial SSU rRNA". It matches the Rfam family "Bacterial small subunit ribosomal RNA", at positions 8 to 526 of the family's 1533-position model. The record is from RNAcentral.
AGGGUUCGAUCAUGGCUCAGAACGUACGCUGGCGGCACGCCUAACACAUGCAAGUCGAACGAAGUAGCAAUACUUAGUGGCAGACGGGUGAGUAACAUGUAGGUAUCUGCCCUUUGGCCUGGAAUAACACGAGGAAACUUGUGCUAAUACCGGAUAAGUCUUUACGGAGAAAGCUUUAUGCACCAUUGGAUGAGCCUGCACUUGAUUAGUUUGUUGGUGGGGUAAUGGCCUACCAAGACUGUGAUCAAUAGCUGAUUUGAGAGGAUGAUCAGCCACAUUGGGACUGAGACACGGCCCAAACUCCUACGGGAGGCAGCAGUGGGGAAUCUUGCACAGUGGAGGAAACUCUGAUGCAGCGAUGCCGCGUGAGUGAAGAAGGCCUUUGGGUUGUAAAGCUCUUUCGUCGGGGAAGAAAAUGACUGUACCCGAAUAAGAAGGUCCGGCUAACUUCGUGCCAGCCGCCGCGGUAAUUC